AGAGCACUAGGGGUAACCAGGCCAAUUGGAUAAAUUUAAGGAUCAGAGAAAAAUAUAGAAGUGACCGAUAAUAAAGACGGAUGCUUCAGACACAGGUCUUGGUGCCAUGCUGAGCCAGAGAGUCGAUGGAGUGGAACAUCCUGAGCCGGAAACUGUUGGACCAGGAGACCAGCACGUGGGUUGGUGCACAAGACACACUGACAGCAUUGCCGACUGCCAGUCCUGGAAGAAAGUGUUUCAAGGUGCCAAACUUAAAGCAAGGUGCCAGGUACUCGGUUCAGCUGCAGGUUGAAGACUCGGCCUUCCACAGUCCGCCCCAUGACCUCCCACAGUUUGUAAAAAAAGAAAGAGAAAAAGAAGAAGAGCAGCUGUAAAGUUUUACCAAUUCGAAAAAGAAAAGGAACUGAACAUGUUUUCCAACACGGAACAAUGGCACAACAGAAUCAGGUAUGGACUCACAGAAUAAAAAGCUCAGUAUAUUUAAAGAAACUUUAGAGCUAUUAAACAAAAUGAUUAUAUAUAGUAGGGAGUCUCUGAACCGCACAGUGAAAAAAAUGAUGGGAUAACCCUUAUCGCGUACAUGCGAGAUGUUUUCAUGUACAUACGGGAUACUUUUACAUACGUACGAGAUAAAGUUAUAUUAAAAAAUUACACCUAAUUACUCCUUUACCAAAGCUAUGGUGCUUCAGUUUGACAUCACUUCUAUCUCUUGUAGCAUGGUGAUAUAAAAAUCAGACGGGAGGGAUUUUAUUUAAUAAUGAAGUGUGGGAUGAUUGGAGAUGGGUCUAAUUGCAGCCUGUAAUAUUGCAAUAAUGCACACAACGUUAAUCACAUAAAGGCCUAUCGCAUGCCUCGUUACACAAUGGUUAAGAUUAGGGUUAUGGAAGGGUUAUCUGGCUCAAAGGGCUUAGGUACGUGCUUUAUGUUUAUAUGUCUGCACACUUGUACAAAGUUCCUGAGGAGAUAUGAUUGUUUGCAUGUUCAGUUUGCCCAUUCCAAUGUGGGUACACUAAUAUAAUUCUCUGGUAAACCUGGCACACUCUAUCGCUUAUCUAGAUAAUAAAAACGGAAAACCCAAUUUAGCUCUCUUCUGUGCCCUUUAAUUAUUUCAGAUCAUUUUGUACAGUACAACGGAUGACCAAGUGUGCCAGUUUUGCCAGUGGAUUUGACUAGGAUAUUCAAGUUUGCCUUUUUAAACAUGGGUACAUUUCAGGUCUGAAAAUGGUGGGAAUUAAAGUGACCUGAUUUGAAUUUAACUCCUUAGAUGCACGUUAAAUCCCAUAGUCCUUCAGUGUAGAUAAGUGAUAGUGUGUCAGGUUUACCAGAAAAUUAACACUAGAACCCCUGAAGACUACGAAAAAACUCAUAAUCCCAGACCACCUUAAAUUCCUUCUCACCUCCUCAUCAGUGUCUUUUGUUUUGCAAAUGUAUUGAUCAGCACAAGCAGCCUGCUAUUCCAAAACCCCUCCCCUUCUGACGGAGCUGAAGUUCUCCCAGCUCAAGUGUGUUUAUCUGUGUGUAAGGUGUCUGGAGUUGUAUAGGGUGUGACGUGUGAGUCACUGUCUCACACCCCAAAAACAGGAGGCUGAGUCGCAAUCUUCAGAAUGAUCAGGUUUAUUAACAACCUCAAACAGGAACAGCAAGCAUUUUUAUUGAGGUGGGAGUUACCUCUUUAUAACACACAAACACAGCAAGCAAGCUGUGUCUUCAUUAGUCAUUCCACCUCAGCUCCCUCCAUCAGUCCAGGUACUGAUAAUCCUCUUCCUCAGGUUGAUCCCAUGGCUGCGGAUCUGGGAUUGGAAUCGGAUUGUCCUGAAGGUGAGGGGACAAAGAGAAAGUGGGCCAGGUAAUUGCCCGAAUUACAAUACUGUCCCUGUGUCGGUGAUCAGUCCCUGGCCGACGUACGCUACAGCUGUGAGCGAACUUGUUGUGUGCUGAUGAGUUUUCUAUGGCCAACGGAUGCUCUACUGUGUGACGGGGCCACGAAUGCGCUGUUGAAGCAGGACGUGUAGUGUGGCGGGGCUGCAUACAUGUCACAUCCCCUCCCCCAGCUUCGGACACAGCAGGCUGCCUGAUUGGGUUCGACUAGGCGGGAGAGGACGCCUGCAUUCACAUGUGCAGAGCCAGGCUGGUGGUGCACAUCAAAGUUGAAAGGCUGUAAACUAAGAGACCACAGAGUGAGGUGGCCAUUUGUGUCCUUCUGUCAAUAAAGCUACUGAAGCAGGGCUUGAUCAGUUACGAGAGUGAACUGUCGACCCCAGAGGUAGUAGAGGAAGCCCUCUACAGCCUACUUAAUUGCCAAGCACUCUUUUUCAAUAGUCGAAUAAUUAUACUCCCUGGGUAACAGCUUCCUGCUGAGAAACAUGAGGGGGUGCUCUUCCUCCACAAGCACCUCCCCCACCUUGUCCAUCUGUGGUCUAAUUAGGCCAUUCUCCAUUGAGUAACCCAGAUAAUUAGCCUCUGACAUGCCCAGUCUGUACUUCUUCAGGUUGGCUGUCAGACCCGCAAUGUGUAAACUAUCAAGGACAGCCCAUAAGCGAUCGAGAUGAGACUUCCAAUCGCUAUUGAAAAUGACCACAUCAUCAAGAUACCCGCUGAAUGGGGACGCAAAAUUUGGUCCAUCAUUUGCUGAAAGGUCAGCGGUGCCCCAUGGAGACUGAAGGGGAGUCUGGUAAAUUCAAAAAGCCUGUCUGGGGUGGUGAAGGCAGUUUUCUUGUGACUGGAUUCCUCCAAGGGCACCUGCCAGUAGCCCUUUGUGAGGUCCAGAGUGGAAAUAUACAAGGCCUGUCUGAGUUUCAUCUUCGAGACAAAUCCUGCCGACUACAACAAUUUGUCACGAAAUAAUCACACAAAUAUAAUCAUAAAGUUUUGGGGAAUGUUCCCUGUAUAAUCAUCUACCUUGGAGAAGUUGAAAAAAGGUUUGAAAGUGGGUCACCUGCAAAAAAUUACAGUUGACAAUCAGAAUAUGCAGAGACUGGUUUAUAUAGUGAAUGUACAGGAAAUAAUACAGACAAAAUGGCUGAUGGAUAUGACGUAAUGACUGGAAAAAGGAAGCAGAAGUGACAUCAUUGCAGAUGGAUGGAAGUGACGUCAUCGGAGAUGGAUGGACAUGACGCUAUCGGGAAUGGCCUGCCAUGAUGUCAUCGGAGAUGGACAGAAGUGGCCUCAUUGGGAAAUGGCAGGAAGUGAUAUCAUCAGGGUUGGAAGGAAGUGGCUUCAUCAGGAAAUGGCCGGAAGUGACGUCAUUGGUGGAGGAUGGAAACCAGGUAUGUGGUAUGUUUUUUUCUGAUUUUAGUGGGGAAUCACAAUUAAUCUUUGGUAGGUCUGCAGGAAGAGGAGAAAAGGCAUUAGUACUCAUUUCCAGCCCUCUGAUCUUUGUACUUUCACUGUCUCUUGGAGCCUUUGGCUGCCCCUAAUCAUGUGUGUGUGACAACAAAUAUUUUGCAGCCUUUUGAAUUAACACUAGAAUUACCAAAGCCUAUGAAAAAACGUGUAAUUCUGGCAUACCUUAAAUCCGUUCGCACCUCUCUGUCAGCAUCUUUUGUGUUGUAAAUGUGUCGAUCAACACAAGCAGCAAGUAGCCUGCUAUCCCAUCCCCCCACCAACGCAGAAAGUGCAGAAAGUUCUCUCAGCUCAAGUCUGUUUACCUGCAUGUGAGUUGCCAGGAGUUGUAUAGGGAAAGUAAUAUAUUGUUAUUUGGAAUACAUGCAUUUCAUGUGUGUUCUGUGUCUAUAACAAUCUAUGUAAACACAUUGUUAAAACAGAAACAUUUUCCAUGUUUAAGAAAUAAUUGACAAAAUGUAAGCAUGAAGUGUAUAACAUGUGAAGCCUGAAGUCCAAAUGUCAAAUAAACACUUUCUCAAAAUGUACAAGUAUAACAAAACAAGUGCGCUUUUAUUCAAGAAUAUAACUGCAGAAAAAGAACUCACGUUAGGGUGCGAAAUUGACAUGUCCUUAAUAUGGUGCAGUGCUAAGAACUGCUGACUGGUAAUCAAAAGGUUGCUGGUUUGAUCCCGGACACCUCUUUUUUGAGAAGUGAACUGCUGUUAUUCGUACUAUUAUAGAAUAAAAACAUACAUUUAAUUUGUGUCUGUAACAGCCUGUGUAAAUGUAUGGUACUUGUAAAGGUUAGCGUUUUUUUUUUUUAUUCAGUUUUAUUCUCUCAGUCGUGUUCAGGAUCCCCCUGAUCUGACACUGCUGUUUUCAAAUAAAGAUGUACUAUGGCAGAGGUGAACUCAGAUGAGGAUGAGAACAGAAGCCCUUCCCGCAAGAAACAUCCACUCACAUAUAAGAACAAUCCAGCUGCACCAACAGUCCCACACCUCUCCUUCAACAGCAUGGCUUACAGAGCUUGCCAAGGUAUUGUGCAAAGUCCUGUUUGUGAUUAGGUUUUGUGAUGGUCUUUAUAUGAAAACCAUGCUUAUGUUACUUAUAUAAAAGACAGAUUGAAUGUUAUUUACCCUGAUUUAUUUACUUAUUUUCCUACAGUGUAAAGUCACGAGUAAACUGCAGAGCUUCCUCUGUUUCAUUGACACGGGCAUGCUCACUAAGUACAUAUGUAGUGAAGUGACUUCAGCUGCAGAUGGAAGCUCCUGUCGCACCCUACACAAGGAGAAACCCCACAGGAGAAAGACUUUCCAAGACUAAAGCCAUAAAGCUUAUGAAACCAUUUCUGGACAAAGGCAGAACUGUAACAACAGUUGCAUAGUUUUAGGCACUUCCAUCAACCCUGUCAUAAAAUUCUCCUAAUUCAAUCCUAAAGACUCUUGCAAUAGACAUGAAAACAUAUCAAUAAAAUAAAACACUAAUAUUACAUUUGCUUUCUCUGAUUUACGAAUAAAAAUAUACAAAGUAUUUAUCAACUUAUAUACAAAAUUUCACACCACAGCACACGCUAACAUCUGGAUGUGCAUCUGUCAUGCCUAGUGUCAAAGCUGCUCAAUUGAAUGAUGAUGAAUGACUCCACCUUCUGUUUGCUCAUGGUAGAACACAGGAUUAUUCGCUUAUUCCAGAACUGCUGGUACUUAGUAUUGCUCUUAAACAAAGUUAUUAGAAUACACCGGUCUCCAAGGGUUGAAACUGCCAAAGCAUACCUCCAUGGUAUCUUGUAAAUUCUUUUCAUGCACAUCACCAUGGACUUUUUAGUGAGGAUGAUCAAGUACAAUUGUCAGUCAUCUGUCCAUUAAUGCCCAGGUGUUUCCCAGUGGAAAACUGAGUAUGAUGUAUUUGUAGUGAGCUAGUAAAAUAUAGUGAGACAUGGUAGCUGCUCUAUAGCUACAGUUAUCCUUAUCGCAUUCUAUCUUGUUUGUACAAUUUACUCUGCCUACUUAGUGAUGGAUUACAGGAGGCCACUGUCAAAUGCAGUAUUCCAUUUUCUUUAAUGAGCACUUACAAUUCAACACAUGUACAGUAAAUGCUGUGCCAUUCUCAAAGACCAUAACAUCUAGAAGUUCAUGUGUACUGAAGAAAAUGUUUAAGGUGUUGCUACCUUUAUUACAAGACAUAGACGCCACUAGCCACUUAUAAUGUCACCACAAUAAGGAAGACUUUUCAUAAAAUGAUCAAGAAGGUAUAAUGCAGCUCCAAGACUUAGCUAUAGAGGUGUAUUAAUACCAUUGGUGGUCCAUGUUUUAAAAAACUUUUCUGUGUACUUUAUUUGUUUAUUUUUUCUUGGACAUCACACAUAAAUUUGUGCAAAAGAUUUCCAUAGAUGAUUACUGGAUUACUAGGUGGGUAAUGGUCACAAGGUGCAAGGCAAAGGGUGCACACUAUCCAGGGGCAUCAACCCCAGAAUUAGAAGUGUCAAACUGUUUUCAGGACCUUUUGGAGCUAGAUGGUGUCUCUGACGAUUCUGAGGUGGUAGAGAGGCAUGAGGAUCCCCAACAGACCACAUCAAAAUCAGUCCCCAGAAAGAGAGAGGUGUUGGUAGUUGGGGACUCAAUCAUUAGCGGGAUUUACAGGUAAGUGCAAGUUUGCUCCAGAGACAGAGAAUCUUGCACGUUGUGUUGCCUUCCAGGGAGGAUAGGUGGGAGACUUCCCUGGAAGGGUAGAUAGCCUCUUGGCCAGAGCAGUGGUUGAUCUAGUUGUCAUUACACGUGUAGGGACAAAUGACAUACAUAAGAUUAGUUGAGAAUAAUUUAAACGAGGGAACUGGAGGAAAGAGAGUUUAGGAUAGGCCAGGUUUACAGUUGUACAUGAAGGGACAAACAACAGUGCAAAAAUGAAUUUGCAUAGCAACAUAAAUUGUAACCUAAAGUUUAAGUGCAAAAGUAAAAUAAGUAACACAUUAAAAAUAGAAUGAAUAUAGAGUGGAUAUGAAAAGUUUACACACCUCUGCCAAAAUUGCAGAUUUUGUGUAAUAAAAAAUGAAACCAAGGUAAAUCCUUUCAGAACUAAUUCUACCUUUAUUACAAAAUUGCAAUCUAUACAAAGAAGGUGAAUCAGAAACUGUUAAGUGAAAAAAUGAAAAACAAAAUCAUACAAAAACCUAGUUGCAUUAGUGUGCACACCCCCUAAACUAAUACUUGGUUGAAGCACCAUUUGCUUUUAUUACAGAACUCAGUCUUUCUAUGUUAGAGUCUAUCAGUUUGGCACAUCUGGACUUGGCAAUUUUUGCCCACUCCUUGCCAAACAUUUUCAGAUCUGUCAAAUUACAAGGGCAUCUCCUGUGCACAGCUCUCUUCAGGUCACCCCACAGAUUCUCAUUUGGAUUAAGGUCUGGGCUGUGGCUGGCCCAUUGCAGAACAUUGAUCCUCGUUUGAUGAAGCCAUUGCUUUGUUGAUUUUUAUGUACAGGUGUGCUUUGUGUUGUUGUCAUGCUGAAAGAUGAUUUUCCUCUUUAUCUUCAGCUUCCUAGCAGAUGCUUGAAGGUUUCACAUCAAAAUUGACUGAUACUUGGAGCUAUUCAUGAUUCCAUCUACCAUGACGAAAGCCUCAGUUCCAGCUGAAGGAAAGCAGCCCCAAAGCAUAAUGCUGUCUCCACCAUGCUUCACUGUGGGUAUGGUGUUCUUUUGAUGAAGUGGCAUGUAGUUUUUGCACCAAACAUACCUUUUGGAAUUAUGGCCAAAUAGUUCAAUCUUGAUCUUAUUAAACCAUAAUACAUUUUUCCUCAUGGUUAUGGGAGAUUAGGUAUACCUUUUUUCAAGGUUUAGCCAGGCUUGGAUGUUUUUCUUUGUGAGAAUGGGCUUUUGUCUUGCUACACUACCCCACAGCCCAGACAUAUGAAGAAUACAACUGAUUGUUGUUACAUAUAGGGAAAAAACAGUACUUGCCAUAGAAUCCUGCAGCUCCUUUAAAGUUGCUGUAGGUGUCUUGGUGGCCUCCUUGACCAGUUUUCUCCUUGUCUUCUUAUCAAUCUUGAAGGGACGUCCUGAUCUUGGUAGAGUCACUGCUGAGCCAUAUUUUUCCACUUGUUGAUGACUGUCUUCACCAUGCUCCAUGGGAUGUUUAAUGAUUUGGGAACGUUUUGCACCUCGUCUUUAUUAAUACUUUUCAAAGAUGAGAUGCUGUUCGUGUUUUAAAAGAUCUUUGAGGACCAUGGCUUUUGGAAUUUUGUGCAACCAACAAGACAUCAGAAUAAUCCUACGGGAACAGCCAAACUUUAUCUGAGCUUAGUCAGAGUUACUUUAAUUGACAUCAGGUGUAUACUAAUUGUUUUUUGAGAUAAGACUUAUUGCAAUUGGUUGAUUGUGAAUGCAACCACAUCCUUGAUUAUUAAAGUUGUACAUUAGUAGAGUUGAUUGAGACUGUUAGUUUAAAAUGUUAAUUUAAAACAAAAUUUUUUUUCUUUUAAAUAAUGACUUAUUAUUGUAGUGUAUCCUUUUAGACAACUAAGGACUGUUUUAGUCACAACAAUGUUCAGCUAUCAGAAUUUUGCUGCUGCAUCUUUCAAUACCAUCAACUAUGACUUUUAUCAUUUCUGGUGUAUUAUUUUAUGUUUCCUCGUAGUUUAAAAUAAUAUUACUUGAAAGUCUUUUUUCUUUGUAGAUAAUAUCACAGUUUUUGAGAAGGAGUGUUUGCAUCCCAUAAUAAAGCUGCUUUGUUUUAAUCAUCUCUACUAGGUUUGCCAGGGUUUUACAUCCUCUGCUUUAUAUAAAAAGUGCUGCAACUGUGGCCUAAUUGCACAGGUAUCUCAGAAACAUAAAGUCAAUGUACACUAGAUUUAUGACAGGAACCUUUACAGCACACAUUCACUUUUGGGCCAGUAUAAAGCAAUAUACUGGGAUGCAUUUAAACAGCUGGAGACAACUGUACAACCACUAUGUUAUUUAGUAAAAUUAGUUAUGAACUUCUGAUUGCUAACACCAGAACUGAACUUAAUAGCCUUAAUCCAAAGAUGGUUUCUCAUUUUUUUGAGAGGGCGGCACCCUUAACAGACCUCACAAAGAAGUGGGCCCCUGACACUGUGCUAUGGAAUGCUAAAACAGACUUCAAAUUCUGUGACCUAAAACAGGUUCUUAUGUCAGCACCUGUAUUGAUGACUCUUGACUUUUCUCUGCCAUUUAUCUUACAGAUUUACACUUUGGACAUUGGUCAAGGCUGCCUUGCAGUUAGGAGACCUGGGUUCACUUCCCGGGUCCUCCCUGCAUGGAGUUUGCAUGUUCUCCCUGUGUCUGCGUGGGUUUCCUCCGGGUACUCUGGUUUCCCCCCACAGUCCAAAGACAUGCAGAUUAGGUGCAUUGGCGAUUCUAAAUUGUCCCUAGUGUGUGCUUGGUGUGUGUGUGUGUGAGCGCCCUAUAGUGGGCUGGCACUCUGCCCAGGGUUUGUUUCCUGCCUUGCGUCCUGUGUUGGCUGGGAUUGGCUCCAGCAGGCCCCCGUGACCCUGUAGAUAGGAUAUAUAGCAGGUUGGAUAAUGGAUAGAUGGACAUUGGUCCAGGUGCCAUCCUGAGCUAAACCGUCAACAUUGUUAAACCUCCCCAUGUUCCUGAGCUAGAAACUACUUGACCAGCAGACCAGGUAUGCAAUGGUGGAAAGAAAAGCCUUGGGCUAUACACCAAUUAAAGUACUACAUCCAGGAAUGUGAAUUUAUUUUUAUAGUCCUCUCCAUGCCAGCAUCAAUGCUUUUUCUCUUUUUCAUUCAGACCCAAUGGGUCUGGGCUGAGAGGGGAGGUUUGUCAUUGGCUUGGCUCUAGUGACUGUAAUUUUACUGCUGUUCCAGGAGUUGGUGCUGUGUCCUAAUGCUUUUUUUUUUCUUUCCAACUCUGCGGACUGGAUGAUUGAUGGCUAUAACACCUCUGAUGUCACUCCUGAUAUCCAUUCACCUGGACACACCUGUUCCUUCUGGAAGGACCCAAAACCAGAAAUUCCACCAAAUUUGUCAGUUCUGUUGUGAACUUGCAUUUUCAAAGUCUUCACCACAAUUAUUGCAUGCAUUUUCCUUGUUUUUUUCACACAAGAAAGAAAGAAAGAAAGAAAGAAAGAAAGAAAGAAAGAAAGAAAGAAAGAAAGAAAGAAAGAAAGAAAGAAAGAAAGAAAGAAAGAAUUGUAAUUGUAAUUGUGUUUUUGACAAAAAGCCUGUAUUGAAGGUAUUUGUUAAAAUAAACAUUUCAUUUGAACUGGGGACUUGUGUUUGUAAGGUUGUUUGUAAGGGGUUUGGGCCUUUGUAUACACACAAAUACGCAGAAGAUUAUGGAAAAUAUAAAGAACAUUCAACAUUUUAUUUUAAUGUUAUCCAUCAUACUGACAAAAGUAAAGAGUUUAAAUAGAUAGUUUUCUUUUCUUGUAAUAAUAAUUUCCAGGUAUUUGAACUGUUUUGAUUGAGUGAAUCAAUGAGAAAUGAUCUAGUUUGGUCUAGUAUGCAAAAAAAAAAAAAAUCACUAGAAAUGCACACUCUUGAUGAGAUAGAUAGAUAGAUAGAUAGAUAGAUAGAGUAGAUAGAUAGAUAGAUAGAUAGGAUAGAUAGAUAGAAGAUAGAUAGAUAGAUAGAUAGAUAAAAUCUCUGGAUUUAAAUUAUCUGUUAAAUUCCCUGAGCAAAAUUAAUACAAAUGGCUAAGAUAAUAAUUGGUCUGCAGUCUAAAGAUACAUCCAAGGAUUGCUAGAAAACAUCAUCAGUGAUGUUUUCUGAGUUCAUUGGGUGUUUCGGGUCUCGAACAUCAGACACCCUUGCUCAAGUGACCCAGCCAGGGUUAAUCAGGCCCUGGCUUGUGUCCCAGCAGCAAUAGCCCAUGACUCAGACCUACUGAUCUAAAGCCAUCUAGAGGCCCUCUCUGUUGCCUCUAUGGCAGACUUUAUGGCUAUGCAGCUCCUCUUAUGCCAAGCAAUAUGUAGACCUUGCAUGAAGUGCGGCCAACAAAGCCUCUAAACCCAACUCAAAGAAGUUGUUGUAACAUGGUCUGGGAACUUGAGCUAUCUGCCCAGGUCUACUCGUAAUUCCCAGUCCAACGCUGAGGUGAGCAGGCUGGCUGCUACUAAAGGCUGUGGCUGAAACUGCUCUCCUGUCCUGACAAAGGUGAUGCCCCUUUGGCUGGAAAUGAUUCUAUUAUUAGCCAUAGCGCUAGAGAUGCCCUCUGCCACUGACUUGAGCACCUGGUCGUGUCACCAGUACUAGCGGCCCUCACUGAGGGCUACUAUGCAGCUACUGAGGAUGUGCUCCAGUGAACCCUUUGUAGUACAGAGAGGACAUACUGGAGACUCAGUCUUGCCCCAGGUAUGUAGAUUUACUGGGCUGGGUAGAAUAUCAUACACGGCUUGAACCAUGAACUUGAUAUGCUGGGUUUCAUCUUGCUAGAUUUCGCCCCAAGAUAAUUUCCUCUCCAGCACUCCCUCCCACCUUGUCCAUGUUCCCUGCUGCCGCAUGCCCAUCAUCCUGCUGGUUUGCUCCUCCACACCUGCACACACUUUCCCAGGACUAGAAGGAAUUUGUCCUUGCCAUGGGUCUUGUCGUACAGAGGCUACAGUCAAAGACCUUGCCUAGGCUUCUGACUGGUUUCUCUGUAAUGGCAAUGAUGUCCACAAAAAAAUGAAACUUGUCCACCACCAUGGCCCUGUAUUUUGCUGGUUUGAAGCUUAUUCUUGCCCAGGAUAUGAGCUUUUUCAGGUCCUAGAGGAUCCACCUGCCACCAGGCACUUACAGUGCAUCCGGAAAGUAUUCACAGCGCAUCAC
Erpetoichthys calabaricus (reedfish) is the source of this 11100-nucleotide RNA transcript. RefSeq lists it as uncharacterized. NCBI's taxonomy places the organism in Eukaryota, Metazoa, Chordata, Cladistia, Polypteriformes, Polypteridae. The transcript has 3 exons. The record is from RefSeq and is a predicted model, not a curated record.